UACGGAGGGGGGCAAGCGUUGUUCGGAAUUAUUGGGCGUAAAGAGCUCGUAGGCGGUUUGUCGCGUCUGCCGUGAAAGUCCGGGGCUCAACUCCGGAUCUGCGGUGGGUACGGGCAGACUAGAGUGAUGUAGGGGAGACUGGAAUUCCUGGUGUAGCGGUGAAAUGCGCAGAUAUCAGGAGGAACACCGGUGGCGAAGGCGGAUCUCUGGGCCAUAACUGACGCUGAGGAGCGAAAGCAUGGGGAGCGAACAGG
This 254-nucleotide ribosomal RNA is filed under the name uncultured bacterium. RNAcentral's name for it is "partial 16S ribosomal RNA". It matches the Rfam family "Bacterial small subunit ribosomal RNA", at positions 524 to 776 of the family's 1533-position model. The record is from RNAcentral.